UCGAAUAGUCGCGUAUAGCAAGGUCGAAAGGCAGCGUACGAGGAAAGUCCGGGCUCCAUAGAGCGAAGAUGCUGGAUAACGUCCAGUGAGGGUGACCUUAAGGAAAGUGCAACAGAAAAUAACCGCCAUGUUAGAGGUUAGAUGUUAGGGGUUAGAAAAAAUAAUUUAAUGCCUAACUUUUAACAUCUAACCUCUAGUAUGGUAAGGAUGAAAAGGCGAGGUAAGAGCUCACCGCCAAUAUGGUGACAUAUUGGGUCAGUGUAAACCCCAUCUGGAGCAACACCGAGACAAGAAGGUUAAUGGCUGCUCGUCAGUCUUCUUAAUUUGGUGGCUUGAGGCAUAUAGUAAUAUAUGCACUAGAUAGAUGACUAUUCAAGACAGAACCCGGCUUAUAGAUUUACUCUU
Molecule: RNase P RNA, 405 nt
Filed under: chicken gut metagenome
Description: Bacterial RNase P class A
Rfam family: Bacterial RNase P class A
About the family: Ribonuclease P (RNase P) is a ubiquitous endoribonuclease, found in archaea, bacteria and eukarya as well as chloroplasts and mitochondria. Its best characterised activity is the generation of mature 5'-ends of tRNAs by cleaving the 5'-leader elements of precursor-tRNAs.
Source: RNAcentral